AACCUAUAGAAUACCGGAUGAGGUCCA
This 27-nucleotide non-coding RNA is filed under the name Bombyx mori (domestic silkworm). The record is from RNAcentral. Lineage: Eukaryota; Metazoa; Arthropoda; Insecta; Lepidoptera; Bombycidae.